RNAcentral lists this long non-coding RNA (311 nucleotides) under Androctonus crassicauda. Lineage: Eukaryota; Metazoa; Arthropoda; Arachnida; Scorpiones; Buthidae. The record is from RNAcentral.
CGAAGUGCUCAGAACGUGUAUUGGUUUUGGCAGAGUUGUACACAAUAUGUUAUGGUUACUUCAUGAUGGCCAUGAAGCGAAAUAAUGUUGAGCCUCUGCGUUUGGUCGUUUGGAACUGGCCACAAUGCGUUGUGGCUGUUUUUUUCAGUCGUGCAAUUUCAAUGUUUGGGUAUAAUAUAUAUAUUAUUAAAAAAUAUUGCAAUAAUUAUUACUUAUUUAUUCUAUUUCUUGCAGUUUGAUUUUGGAUUUAAAAGAGCAAUUAUGUAUCAGUUAAUCUCUGAAUUUAAGCUAAAUAUGGAAAUAAACAUGCC